Molecule: long non-coding RNA, 4174 nt
Organism: Humulus lupulus (European hop)
Lineage: Eukaryota; Viridiplantae; Streptophyta; Magnoliopsida; Rosales; Cannabaceae
Exons: 10
Source: RefSeq, a predicted model, not a curated record
UAGAAGCUCUUCUUAAGCUUUAAACAUUUGCCCAAAAAUUCUUAACACAAAACUCAAACCCAAAUAUAUUUAGCUAAAGCAACAUAAAACCACAUUAAACCCGAAUUCAAGCAUUCACAAACAAUUUUUAAAUUUAUAAUCCCAAAUCAAUUUAAAAUAUAAAAUUUAUAUUUUGACAAAGUUAUUUAGUUAUGGAUCCUUUUGUUGUUGGUGUUUUUUUUAGUGGGUCAUUUUGUAGUUCUUGACAUUUUUUUAUAUAUCAAGCGCAAGGCCGAGCUCUGGUUCGACACCGCCCUCACUCACGCCCCUUCUCCUUUCAUGCCUAGAAUCAAGACCGGUAGAUCUUUCACCAUGGAAAGCUUAUGCGAUUUUAGUGUAGCAGAUCAGAUGCAGAAGGAGUUCAUCGUCCGAUUUGAAAAUUAAUGGUACUUCGGAAACUAUGUCUGAAACCGUGCUUAGUCCAGUUGAGUUAAAGGAAGAAGUAAUUUCUUCAGAGGCCAAAGAAGAAAAUGUCAUAGUGAAUUCUGCUGAUAAAGGUUCAAAGGAGGAUGGCAAAGGGGAAAGCAAGAGUACUGAGAAACAUGACAGAGCAUCAGCUACGAUAGUUUCUUCUUCUUCUGAUGUGAAAAAUGAAGCGAAUAGUGAUAAAGAGAAUAGCAAACCUUCUGUUCAAGCAGAAAAAGAAGCUUGCACUCCUGUGCCACCGAAUCCUGGGACCAACUCCAAGAAGCACCAGACAGCUAAAAUGAUUGCUAGUUUAGUUAGAAACCCAUCAGCCUUGAAGCCAAAAAGUCAGAUAAAGUCGUCACAAUCCAAAACCCCCAAACCAUCUUUGUUUGAAAAGUGAAACAAAUGUGAAAAGCACUGCUGGGGCUCUCACUUUGGCCCAGGAGAAUCAGGCAAUUAAGCGACAGAAGUUGGAAGGAGGACAAUCUAGACAGAUUCUUAGCCUCAAACCGCAUAAUCUGCCCCACAAGACAAAUCGGGUCGUGUAAGUGGCAGUUCCAACUUCUGCCCAUCAACUGUGAAUAGAGCCAAAAAAGAUGAAAGAAAGAUUUAUGUUCGAGAAGGAGCAGCACCAGCACAAGCUCCUCCAUUUGUUUCAGCUGCUGAAAUGAUGAAGAAGUUCCAAUCAAGUACCAGAGACCCCUGUCGUGCCUCACACUGGUUCUCAGAUGAAGCCUAGACUCACAUUGACAAGGCCCAAGGAACCUGAGUUUGAAACAGCUCAACGAGCAUGCUCUGUUAAGAUUAAAAGCACUGCUGAGCUUGAAGAAGAGAUGAUAGCCAAAAUUCCCAAGUUUAAAGCACGUCCAUUGAACAAGAAGAACCGCUUCCCUCUUCACUUCAGAUUUCGACAACCCAACCCACCAACCAAGCUUCCAAGCUUGACGAAAAUGGCGCCUAUCAACUUUCUUAGAGCAACACGUCAUUUUUCAAAGUGAAAAAGCUCUCUGAAAACGCUGUUACUCCAUCAAGAUUCAAGAGGCUCUCCUCUCUUUGCGGGUUACGAUCUCUCGAGGUAAAAACCCAUAUUUUCUUUUGCUAUUUUCUCUCAAGUACUUGAUUUAUUUCGGUAAUAUAUUUUCUGGGUUUCUAAAUAUAUUUAUUUUGGUAUACGCCAUUGUAUUCUAUGACUUAUUUUUGUUUAAGGAUGAUUCCUAUAAAAUGUUUGAUGAAGUGCUUGUUUGAACAAUUAUCACUAGAAGUUUUAGGAACCCUUUCAAUUCUUUGUGAUAAUGGAGUUAGGUUGACUUCAAUAUCAGAGUAAUGUUUAGAGAUAAGCAUGAUUAUUUGUUAUACUUUUGAAGGGUCCACCGUCCAUGGUCUUAGAACUUUCUUCUGCACUUCUUUAAUUCAAUUCAUGAUAUCUCUAUUUUAUUGAUGUUUUAUAAUAUUUUUAACAUAUUAAAUAAUUGAAAAAUGUCCAUGUAGAAAGAAAAGCAUAAAGGAAAAUUCAUUAUAGACUAAAGAGUGUCGUAUUAGCAUUCAUAUUUUUUUCAUAUAUAGCAUUCGUAUGUUUUAUGAUCGAUGGUAAACAAAUUUAAUAUGUGAUCUAUUUAAAUAAGGAUGUUAAAGAUUACAUCGAAAGCUUAUAUAAAAUUAAUACUAAUAGAGAAGUUAGACAAGAAAAGGAAAUACAAAAGAAAAAGAUCGAAAGAAAAUGUCACCAUUGGAUUUCUGUCUUUACUAAACAUUCAAGCUACAAAGUAAUAUCAAAAGUGGCACUUAUAAGUACCACGAUCUUCACCACAGGACCUUUAUAUAAUGUAAGAGCAUUGUAGAAGGUAUAAAUCAUUUAAUGCUGUUAAAAUCCGUAUAACAUUAUGUUUAUUGCUGCUGUUUCUUAAGGCUCGGAAGAUUUUGUUUUUAUAAUUGGUGAGCCUAUCUGGUUAUCAAGAAAUUAACCACAUAAUGAGGUAAGACUAACUCUUUUGUAAACAAUUGAUCCAUUUACUUUUGGUAUUAAGAUAGAUCAAAGGUAUCAUUUUUGGGCUAUCUUGAUUCUAAAUAUCCCAACAUCAAUUUUGUUUUGUUAAUUAUUUUUUGGGAAGAUUAUAUUAAUAUUUUAUGUCUUGUUUUGUGGUUUGGACCCUUGUCAAAGUUUUUUUUGAAUUGUGCAUUGUAUAGAGUGACGAAGAUUUGGUCUUCAUAAUUCUAUUAUAACUAUUUUGCUUCACAAUAUUAGAAUGCUUUUUGAGUUAAUAUCCAAUUAAGACUCAUUUGAUUGUUUGUAUUUGUUUGAUUUGUGUUUUUACUAAAGUUUAUUUCUUUUAUGUUGCUUGACUAUAUGUAUGGGUUUGCUGUCAAUUUUUUAUAUGAAUUAUUUUUUUUCAGUAAUGCAAGGCUAUAUCAUUUCAAAUAAACAAAUAAUAAUAAUAAAGCAAAACCAUUUUUUAAUGAAUUUUCAUUGUGAAAGGAAAUAACUCAAAUGAUUAUAUGAAAUUAAUUUAAAAUUGUAUAAAGCAGUAAAGGAAAUAGACAAUAUGUGUUAAUCUAAUAACAUAAAACACUACGUCAGUAAAGCAACCUCAAUGAGUCGUGGAUUACGUCAAGUAUAUGGCAAUGCAAAUAAGUCUUCCUUACGAGGACUUUGAGAAAUCUUAACCAAUGAUUUCAUGUUGUUAUAUCAUUGUUAUUUGCAUAUUUUAAUUUGAAUUUGCAAUAGAAUAUGUAAAAUCAUUUAUUGACAUAUUUGCUAAAAUUGACAAAAUUAAUUAUGAAAUGUAUUUUCGAAAUAUAUUGUGUGGUAUUUUCGAAAUGGGUAGUUUCUUGUUUUGUGGUGAAAUAUUUUCUAAAUUAGAUUAUCCUAUAUAUGUUAAUAAAAUAAAUAUAUAAUUUUCUAUAAAAGAAUAUAUUUUCUUGAAUUUUGUAUAUAUGGAAAUUAUUGGUAUUUAUUUUAAUUUCUUGAUCUGAUUUGUUUGUCUAGGAACCGUGAACAGCUUACAAAGAUAAUGUAUAUAUUGUUUCCUUAUUUAUUUAAGGAAACUAAGUUUAAAAGACUGUCCAGGUUCAAUAAAUUUGUUUGAACGGAUUGCUAAUCUAUUUAAAUAGAUUCUGACUUUCCUUUUGGGGAAGAUUUUCCAUUUAUUGGCUUAUUGGUUUUUGACUUGUUUUCCAUGACCUAAAGGGAUUCUAAAAUGUAUAUAGUCAUCCUUAGGUCAUUGGUUUUUGCUCAUCUCUCUUGGGUAUUAUUUUCCAAAUAUUUUCAAGUUUUAGAGAGACUUUUUUAUUAUGUGAAGAACUUGAGUUCAGCAAGUUCUUAGUGGUUUAUUACAGUAUAAUUCUGUAUUGUUUUCUUUGUGCUAAUUGUGCAGGUUGAACACACUUGGACAUUGUUCUUCAAGCUUCGGGAGAAAUCUUGCUCGUGAGUCACUUUUCGGGAGGAAAAGUGCAAGUGUUAUGAUUUGAAGGGAGUUCAAGAUCUUAACACUUCAUAAAUUUGAUUAGGAGUUUAGAUUACAAUAGUUGCGACAAAUUCAAGAGGGAGUUUUUAUUUGUAUAAGUCAAUUUGGUUUUGUAAUCGUUUAGAUAUUCUUCUAAUAAAUUUCAUUCUCUGGACAUGGCCCCGUGGACUAGUAGCAAUCUACAAAGAUUGUUGAUACCACGUAUAAUUUCGUGUGUUCUUUACUUUAUGUUCAUUUUUAUCUUUUGGUGAUAAACUGUUUAAACA